RNAcentral lists this ribosomal RNA (495 nucleotides) under uncultured bacterium. RNAcentral describes it as "partial 16S ribosomal RNA". It matches the Rfam family "Bacterial small subunit ribosomal RNA", at positions 28 to 507 of the family's 1533-position model. The record is from RNAcentral.
GACGAACGCUGGCGGCGUGCCUAAUACAUGCAAGUAGAACGCUGAAGGAGGAGCUUGCUUCUCUGGAUGAGUUGCGAACGGGUGAGUAACGCGUAGGUAACCUGCCUGGUAGUGGGGGAUAACUAUUGGAAACGAUAGCUAAUACCGCAUAAUAGCAGUUGUUGCAUGAUAACUGUUUGAAAGGUGCAAUUGCACCGCUACCAGAUGGACCUGCGUUGUAUUAGCUAGUUGGUGGGGUAACGGCUCACCAAGGCGACGAUACAUAGCCGACCUGAGAGGGUGAGCGGCCACACUGGGACUGAGACACGGCCCAGACUCCUACGGGAGGCAGCAGUAGGGAAUCUUCGGCAAUGGACGGAAGUCUGACCGAGCAACGCCGCGUGAGUGAAGAAGGGUUUCGGAUCGUAAAGCUCUGUUGUAAGAGAAGAACGAGUGUGAGAGUGGAAAGUUCACACUGUGACGGUAUCUUACCAGAAAGGGACGGCUAACUACGUG